GCCUGGGUGGCUCAGUCAGUUAAGCGUCUGACUUCAGCUCAGGUCAUGAUCUCACGGUUUGUGGGUUUGAGCCCCAUGUCAGGUU
Molecule: transfer RNA, 85 nt
Filed under: Felis catus (domestic cat)
Lineage: Eukaryota; Metazoa; Chordata; Mammalia; Carnivora; Felidae
Rfam family: tRNA
About the family: Transfer RNA (tRNA) molecules are approximately 80 nucleotides in length. Their secondary structure includes four short double-helical elements and three loops (D, anti-codon, and T loops).
Source: Rfam by way of RNAcentral